UGGGAUUCAGGUCUGGGCUUCAGCUGGGCCAUUCCAGAGUCUCAAUCUUAUUCCGGUGAAGUUAUUUGAAUGUUACUGGUUCAAUCUGAACACAGCCAUAUCCCCAGUUAUUAAAGGGUGUGCACACUAAUGCAACCGCAUGAUCUCAGUUGUUUUUUUUACUUCACCUCCCUGAAAGAUUUCUGUUUGUUUUUCAGUUGUGUUGUACAGGUUAUUGGUCACAGAAAAAAUUGUGAAUUUAUUUAUCUUAAUGUAACUUUUUUAUAUGACAAAAACUUAGCAUUUGAACAAGGGUGUGUAGACUUUUAUAUCCACUGUAUGUGUGUUACAGAGGAGAGUGAAAACAUAUGAUGUUUACACCCCAUUUAGGGUCUAAAAGAGAAUUGCAUACUAUAUUGAUUAUUUAUCCUUUAUGUUUUUAUCUUUUAACAAUAUUAGAUCUGUUACAUUCAAAAGUUAAAGGCGAUUUAUCCAUAUUUUAGUUCUUUUUGAACUCCACUCUGGCUCCUGUUUGCUGUAUUUUGCGGUUGUUUAACCGGUGGGGGGCGCGACAUUGUCUC
Molecule: non-coding RNA, 560 nt
Organism: Xyrichtys novacula (pearly razorfish)
Lineage: Eukaryota; Metazoa; Chordata; Actinopteri; Labriformes; Labridae
Source: the annotation of a GenBank genome assembly